RNAcentral lists this ribosomal RNA (356 nucleotides) under uncultured bacterium. RNAcentral describes it as "bacterial SSU rRNA". It matches the Rfam family "Bacterial small subunit ribosomal RNA", at positions 30 to 376 of the family's 1533-position model. The record is from RNAcentral.
AUUGAACGCUAGCGGCAUGCCUAACACAUGCAAGUCGUACGGUAACAGGUUUCCUUCGGGGAAUGCUGACGAGUGGCGAACGGGUGAGUAAUGCGUGGGAAUCUACCUAAAAGAAGGGAAUAGUUAAUGGAAACAUUAAGUAAUACCCUAUAAUUCUUACGAGACAAAGCAGGGGACUUUAGUAAUAAAGCCUUGCGCUUUUAGAUGAGCCCACGUCAGAUUAGCUAGUUGGUAAGGUAAAUGCUUACCAAGGCAAUGAUCUGUAGCUGAUUUUAGAAGAUGAUCAGCCACACUGGGAUUGAGAUACGGCCCAGACUCCUACGGGAGGCAGCAGUGGGGAAUCUUGGACAAUGGGC